GACGAACGCUGGCGGCGUGCUUAACACAUGCAAGUCGAACGGUAAGGGCGUGCUUUGGUUGGGUGCUCGAGUGGCGAACGGGUGAGUAACACGUGGGUAACCUGCCUUGUAGUGGGGGAUAACUUCAGGAAACGAUGGCUAAUACCGGAUAGGAGCAGAUGUUGCAUGGUGGGGGUUGAAAAGGUGCGGCGGUUGGGGUAGGACUUGCGGCUGAUCAGCAUGAUGGUGGGGGAGUGGCUUCGAAAUGCCUUGGCGGGUAGCCGGCCUGGGAGGGUGACCGGCCCCAGUGGCACUGAGGAACGGCCCAGACUGCAUCUGCAGCAAUGAGUGGAAAAUUUUCCACAAUGGGCGGCAGCCUUAUACAGCGACGCCGCGUGCGGGAUGUCUGCCUUCGGGUUGUAACCCGCUUUAGCCUGUGACGAAGCGUCAGUGACGGUAAUGGAUAAAGAAGCACCGGCUAACUACGUG
RNAcentral lists this ribosomal RNA (468 nucleotides) under uncultured bacterium. RNAcentral describes it as "partial 16S ribosomal RNA". It matches the Rfam family "Bacterial small subunit ribosomal RNA", at positions 28 to 507 of the family's 1533-position model. The record is from RNAcentral.